This 253-nucleotide ribosomal RNA is filed under the name uncultured bacterium. RNAcentral describes it as "partial 16S ribosomal RNA". It matches the Rfam family "Bacterial small subunit ribosomal RNA", at positions 524 to 776 of the family's 1533-position model. The record is from RNAcentral.
UACGUAGGUGACCAGCGUUGUCCGGAUUUACUGGGCGUAAAGAGCGCGCAGGCGGUCGUUCAAGUCGAGUGUGAAAGCCCCCGGCUCAACUGGGGAGGGUCACUUGAUACUGAUCGACUCGAAGGCAGGAGAGGGAAGCGGAAUUCCCGGUGUAGUGGUGAAAUGCGUAGAUAUCGGGAGGAACACCAGUGGCGAAGGCGGCUUCCUGGCCUGUUCUUGACGCUGAGGCGCGAAAGCUAGGGGAGCAUACGGG